AUUGAACGCUGGCGGCAUGCUUUACACAUGCAAGUCGAACGGUAACAGGCCGCAAGGUGCUGACGAGUGGCGAACGGGUGAGUAAUGCAUCGGAACGUGCCCAGUCGUGGGGGAUAACUAUCCGAAAGGAUAGCUAAUACCGCAUACGAUCUGCGGAUGAAAGCGGGGGACCUUCGGGCCUCGCGCGAUUGGAGCGGCCGAUGUCAGAUUAGGUAGUUGGUGGGGUAAAGGCUCACCAAGCCAACGAUCUGUAGCUGGUCUGAGAGGACGACCAGCCACCCUGGGACUGAGACACGGCCAAGACUCCUACGGGAGGCAGCAGUGGGGAAUUUUGGACAAGGGGCGCAAGCCUGAUCCAGCAAUGCCGCGUGCAGGAAGAAGGCCUUCGGGUUGUAAACUGCUUUUGUACGGAACGAAACGGCUCUGGUUAAUACCUGGGGCUAAUGACGGUACCGUAAGAAUAAGCACCGGCUAACUACGUGCCAGCCGCCGCGGUAA
RNAcentral lists this ribosomal RNA (498 nucleotides) under uncultured bacterium. Its description in RNAcentral is "partial 16S ribosomal RNA". It matches the Rfam family "Bacterial small subunit ribosomal RNA", at positions 30 to 523 of the family's 1533-position model. The record is from RNAcentral.